GUACUGAAACAUACCAUACUUUAUGUAUUUGUGAUUCACAUACUUUUGAAGAAUUCUCUCUCUCAAACUGUGUGUGGUCUUCCAUAACUAAAUUCUGCCAGCCUCAACAAAGCCCUCUCUUGCAACUCUGAAUUUUUACCAAGGCAGUCAGAAGCUCUUCACAGCAAUGGUGGCACUUUAGAUAAUAGCAAUGGUGCCCUGACCAGGCUGC
This 211-nucleotide long non-coding RNA is filed under the name Bos taurus (domestic cattle). Its description in RNAcentral is "long non-coding RNA NONBTAT007273". Lineage: Eukaryota; Metazoa; Chordata; Mammalia; Artiodactyla; Bovidae. The record is from RNAcentral.